Non-coding RNA from Bactrocera oleae (olive fruit fly), 3273 nucleotides. NCBI's taxonomy places the organism in Eukaryota, Metazoa, Arthropoda, Insecta, Diptera, Tephritidae. The record is from RefSeq and is a predicted model, not a curated record.
UCUUUUCAUAAAUAAAACAAAUCUCAGAGCCGUUAUUUGUAACUUAAUAUCCGUAGUUAAGUAUUGAAAAAUGCCAACUAUUUGUAAAUACAUAUCUACACAUAUUAAAAAACUUCCAUUAAUUAUGUUUUUAAGGCCCUUGAAAAUUACCGAACGCCGCAGAGGUCAAAUGGGUAUGGUAAAUUACACAAAUCAAAAUUAAUGAAAUAAAAAACAAAUAAUUGUUUACUGCUAACAAUACAAAGAAAAUUGUGAAAAAGCAUGACGCAUGUAUAUACAUAUGUAUGUAUGUGCACUGGUAUUUAAUAUGUCUGCUAAGUAUACAAAUUGCGGCUGAAAACUCCCAACAUAUAAGCGCAUUAAAUAACAACAAUAAACCGACAAUCAAACCCAAUGUAGUGUCAUUCGCGAUAAUUUAUCAUUUAUUGGGGUUGUUGUUGUUACCGCCGGCCCUGCUGCUACUUUGGUAUGUAUUGUGGUUAUCUUCUACACUAUUAAAUAAUUGUUAAAUCUCAGCGGUAAGUGCUUUUUGUUUCAACCGACUUUGCUUUGCGGUUUGAAAUUUUCAUUUCGACGAUUUAUUAUUUCGUGUAUGACUGGCGAAGUUUGAAUAAUUACUAAGAGUCAACGAGUGGGAAAGAGAGAGAGGGAGUAAGACAAACGUGAGAGGGAAACCAUAGCAUGCGGCACAUCAAACAAAAGGGGAGACGUAAGUAAUGAAGAUAGCAUUAAAGUUAAACAGCAAUGAGAAUGCGGCGCGAAGAGGAGGGCAAAGGCAAAAGAGGGCAAAAACGGCAUGCCGCGACGAGCGUUAAGGAUUAUAGAUUAAGGAAACACGUGGCAGAGUUGGGAGAGUACAUUACACUUCAAAGUAAGAGUGAGGCAAAAAGCAUUGCAUAUUAACAAAGUCAUAUAGAUUUGGGCAUAGCGGAGAUAAUGCGCCAGUAAUCCGUUAAAUAAUAUGAAAUGUUGAGAUGUGGCAAGGAUUAUUUUGAAAGCAGAUGACAUAAAAUAUUAAGCAGUCAAUGGAUUUGUAUAAGAGAUCAGAACACAUGCUUUGUGUUGACAACAAUAGCAAAGUAGUGGUGAAUAUUAAACAAAUACCGGUGGAAAUAUGAAUAAACAUAUAUUAUAAUGCCUGAGUAUGAAAGAAUGAAAAUAGCAGAGUAUACCGACUGCGACGAACUCUUAAGGAAGUAUUGGGCGAGCUGUUAUCAGGACUUUAGGAUAAUGUAUAAAGGGUGUGCAACUGGAACAAAAUACACAUUUAUGUAAAAUAUACAUUUUAUGCCUAAAUAUAGGCAAUAUUUUUUUUAAAUAUUUUAAACUGGUAUUUAGAUUUUUUUUUAGGUUAGGAAACCUACAGGGACCUUUAUCGCAGUCUUGCUGUAAUCUUUCUCGCAGAAUUGCCCUGUAUAAUAAGCAUAUGCAAAGCGCCCAAAUGUAGGCAACAUUUUAGUUUACAAUGAAAACCCGCCGCGCUAAACAAGGAUACUAUUGAAAGAGCAAGCUGUAGCAAGCUGAAAAUAAGAUAGUUAUGCAUAAACUAGAGAGUUUCUUAUGGCAAAGUAAGUAUACGCUUCUCUAAGUAGACUUAAGAUACCGCAAAGUACCGUAGUCAGCGUUAAAUUAACUAACAUGUAUUUUUGUGAUAAAAAAAAUAUUUGUAGUAUAAUUUUAUCGUUAAUACAUAUGUACAUACUAAACGAGAAUGACCCGCACGUAGCUGCGCGUAACAAGUGAAAAUUAGAAGGGUUAAUACACCAUUCGUACGCUUAAUAAGAACUAUAAUAAAACGAAAUUAUUUGGCAGCUGCGUUAAAACGAUUAAUAAUAAUUGUUAGAUGAAAUCUCUAUAGCAUGUUGAUGGCUGCAACUAAUCAGCGUGUAGAGGGUGUCGGCGGUGGACAAAGGGUUUAACGAUAUUUUUUGUUAGUGCUUAUUUUGUUUUUUUUUUAUACUUUAUUGAUGAACUUUUUCUUGCGAUAACAAAAGAACUAACGAAAAUUGCGCACCAACAACGGCAAAGUCAAAAAAUCAGCAACCGCAGCGAAACUAAUAGCGGUAAUUAUCACGCACCGGCUACAAAUUAUACGCAACACACAAAUACACGCAUGCCUGUGUGUGUGUGUGUGUGUGUGUGUGUGUGUAAGUAUAUGUUUAUCUAAUAGAUAUGAAAGAAUUGAUACCGUCAAGUUAAUGUCAGGUUAUGUCAGCCAAGGUGUUUGAAUGAGCGUCCGAAUGAGUUAUGAAUUUGUCGGGAUGACUCACGAAGAGCAUGAAGAAAAUGAAAAUGCCUGCUGGGCUUUUGACGCAGCAAUGGCGAAAGGUUGAAAGUACCGACACAACACCUCUGACACCCGACACAGCAGGUAAGCGGCUAAGAAGGUACAAAAUACCCAUUUGUAUUUGUAUGGGGCAAAAAGUGCUGAAGUAGCGCUGAAAGGGAAAUGUAAACAUAUUUAUGCGAAACAUAAGAGCGCCGCAUAAGCAUAACCAAUUUAUGUAUACAAACAAACAAAAGGCCGAUAUAACUGCCUGCCUGCCUGGCUGCCUGUAUGGGUAAGUAAAUUGCAGACAUGCAGACACAACAACAACAACAACAACAACAAUGUAUGUAGGGUGUAUCAAGAGCUUGUCGAAGCGGCAGCAGCAAAUGCAAACCUGUAAUUAACAGCAAAAUAACAAGAAACUAAACGCGUUAAAAGCAAACAACAAUUUAGGAGACGUGUGAAAUGCAGCUAAAAGAUACAGAAUUAGAGAGCAAACAAGCACACACACACACACACACGUGUAUAUACACAGGUAUACAUGUGGAAAUCGAGGCUGAAAAGUAGUGCACUGCAAGCAAGGAAAUGAGCUAUGGAAACGUAAUUUGCUUAGAAAUAAACGCUAUGCGACAAAUAUGCAGAAUUCAGCAACAACAACAAAACACACAAAAGAGACAAAAAGAGUGGGAGGGGGUAGGAAAUAGCUAACUAACUGCCAAGCAUAUUUAUUUGCUUCAUUGAGCCGCUCAUAAAAAUAGUUGAUGAAGUUAUAACUCAGACCAAAAAAACAAACACGCGCGCACACAUACAAACAAACAUGCAAAUGUGUAGAAUCUUUCGGCUAGAGUGUGGGUUAAUGCCUGAAAUGUGUUAAUUACAAACGUAAAAUGGAACUGGGUCGAUAGACUGUAUUAGCCGGCUCAAACUGCUACUGCUUCGCACGCAUACGCACACACACACACACAUAUACGCGCAAAGCAAAAAAAAAAAAACACACUGUUUCA